RNAcentral lists this unclassified non-coding RNA (291 nucleotides) under Hevea brasiliensis (rubber tree). The record is from RNAcentral. Lineage: Eukaryota; Viridiplantae; Streptophyta; Magnoliopsida; Malpighiales; Euphorbiaceae.
GCCAGGAUCAAAGCCUGUAGAGCGUAGAGUAUUGUCGUCGUCGACGACUUUACCUUCGGGUGUUAGAAUCGCUAACAAGAUUUAUGAAACUGAAGAUGACAAACACUUGAAAAUAUGACCACUGCCACCGCCGCUGCAGCUACCACCAAAGCUGAAGUGACCAUGACCUCUCCGACUAACUCUCAAAAUCAAGCCCCAAGCUCUCCCUCACAAGAUCCCAAUCACAAUCAACAACAAAACCCCCCACAAUCAAAUGAUCCCGAAUCCCCUAAAACCCUAACCCUAGAAAUU